GGAGGAAAAGAAACCAACAGGGAUUGCCUCAGUAACGGCGAGUGAAGCGGCAACAGCUCAAAUUUUAAAGCUGGCGUCCUCGACGCCCGCGUUGUAAUUUGGAGAGGCAUCUUCGGUUUGGGCGCCAGCCUAUGUUCCUUGGAACAGGACGUCACAGAGGGUGAGAAUCCCGUGCUUGGCUGGCUGUCCCUCUCCAUGUGAAGUGUCUUCGACGAGUCGAGUUGUUUGGGAAUGCAGCUCAAAAUGGGUGGUAAAUUUCAUCUAAAGCUAAAUAUUGGCGGGAGACCGAUAGCGCACAAGUAGAGUGAUCGAAAGAUGAAAAGCACUUUGAAAAUAGAGUUAAAAAGUACGUGAAAUUGUUGAAAGGGAAGCGCUUGAGACCAGACUCGGCCGACGGCGAUCAGCGGCCCUUCUGGGCUGUGCACUCGUCAUCGGUUCGGGCCAGCAUCGGUCGAGACGGCGGGAUAAAGGCCCGAGGAAUGUGGCUCCUCUCGGGGAGUGUUAUAGCCUCGGGCGCAAUGCCGCCCGCCUCGACCGAGGACCGCGCUCUUUUGCUAGGAUGCUGGCGUAAUGGUCUUCAGCGACCCGUCUUGAAACACGGACCAAGGAGUCUAACAUCUAUGCGAGUGUUUGGGUGUCAAACCCUUGCGCGUAAUGAAAGUGAACGGAGGUGGGAACCCCUCCUCUGGGGGGGCGCACCAUCGACCGAUCCUGAUGUCUUCGGAUGGAUUUGAGUAGGAGCAUAGCUGUUGGGACCCGAAAGAUGGUGAACUAUGCCUGAAUAGGGUGAAGCCAGAGGAAACUCUGGUGGAGGCUCGCAGCGGUUCUGACGUGCAAAUCGAUCGUCAAAUUUGGGUAUAGGGGCGAAAGACUAAUCGAACCAUC
Molecule: ribosomal RNA, 885 nt
Filed under: Neogyromitra brunnea
Lineage: Eukaryota; Fungi; Ascomycota; Pezizomycetes; Pezizales; Discinaceae
Description: eukaryotic LSU rRNA
Rfam family: Eukaryotic large subunit ribosomal RNA
Source: RNAcentral